Molecule: small nucleolar RNA, 136 nt
Organism: Nycticebus coucang (slow loris)
Lineage: Eukaryota; Metazoa; Chordata; Mammalia; Primates; Lorisidae
Product: small nucleolar RNA SNORA64/SNORA10 family
Exons: 1
Source: RefSeq, a predicted model, not a curated record
CUCCUUUGAGCCACAGGUGCUGCCCGGUUAAUAUUAUUUUAAAAUGUUCCAUUGCAGUGGAGAGAGAGAAAAGUUCUCUUCAGGAUGUCAGGUUGGCCUUACGCUGGCCAGUCUUUCCUUGAGGGGUCCAACAGAG